UUCAAGAGGGGGGGAUUUUCACCCCCACCGCUGGCACCCAAAGCCAAAAUUCUUGGAAUCAAACUACCUCUUG
RNAcentral lists this transfer RNA (73 nucleotides) under Ambystoma mavortium mavortium (barred tiger salamander). RNAcentral's name for it is "Ambystoma tigrinum mavortium (barred tiger salamander) tRNA-Pro". The record is from RNAcentral. Lineage: Eukaryota; Metazoa; Chordata; Amphibia; Caudata; Ambystomatidae.